AGACCAAUGUGCUCUUAUAUAAGUACAGGGUUUAGUACAGGAAUCUUGUAUGUGUACGGGUAGGGAUAGAUAAAGUAGAAAUGAAUGUUCAAUACAGCUAUGUAGUAAAAACUGUAAGAAUUGAUUUAGUCAUUUAUAUCAAGCGUUUCAUUAUAGUUGGUGGGGUAAGGUGUUUCCUGUCGGAUAUUUUCAUUUUCGUCCCAUUUGUUCGUAAACAGAUGAUAUUUGCACAACCCUAUCCUCACGAUUUUAAAAGUGCGUUGUAUUAACUGUUAAAAUCAUAAUGGGGUAAUACGAGAUGUAAUGUGCUAACGAUACACAUCUUACCCCACAGUAAUAUAGUGAGACUAUUAACAGCAAUGUUAAAAAUGUACAAGGAAUGCAGUUGUCUACAUAUAUGCCCAGAAACAGGUUUAAAGAUAUAAAGUACAGGGCAGAACUAUGAAGCAGCUCGUGUAUAAGAUGCUUGAAUAAUUUAUACCAGCAAUCAUUGACAAUAUACCCGUGUUACGUCAUACUAGAGGUUAAUUGUUUCAGCAGACGCUUGAUUUUUAUUUAUAUCGCAAGCCAAGAAUCAAAAUGAACGCAACAAAUACAUCUGAUCAGAACUUUACAUACGUGGACGGAUACAAUGACACUUUCUACUUCGUAAACCUCGCUGUUAUCUUCGCAAUAUCUAUGUGUGUGCUCGCCACCUUGCUGUUUCUUAUAUGUAGUUUAUGUCUCCGCAUGGAGGCGCUGCGACAGUACUGGAUCAAAGAUUCGAGAUGGGGUAAAGAACCUUACUUCCAAGGUGUGGACGAGAUGGACUCACCUUCCGGUAGUUCCCCGUUUGUGGAAAUUAUAUGACGUCAUCUCAUGACCCGAAUAAUAUUUACGAUGACGUCAUAGGUACUCGAGGUUGCCAUAUCAACGUAGUGCUUACGUCACAACACCACGCGUGUUUCGUUGUAAAAACUUUAAUUUGUCAGCAAAAGUUCAAUUUUUAGUUUUUUCAUAAUAGUGUAUUGUAACUUCACCUUGCAUUCUUUUCGCAUGCAAAAUUUAAACUGUUCAUUAGGUCAUAAUCAACAUUAUGACGUCAUUAUACCUUUGGUCAUCCGUUAUAAAAUUUCUAUGAGAAAACAAAGACGAAUAGAAAAUAUUUAAACCAUUAAAUGUUUUUAAAAUUUGACCGCAUUCUAAAAUUCAACCCUUUCAUCAAAAUGCAUUGUUUAAUUAUAAAGAGCGAUUCACCGUAAUUAUUACGUCACAAAUAAAGUUUUUUGUCACAA
Ciona intestinalis (vase tunicate) is the source of this 1274-nucleotide non-coding RNA. Lineage: Eukaryota; Metazoa; Chordata; Ascidiacea; Phlebobranchia; Cionidae. The record is from RefSeq and is a predicted model, not a curated record.